Molecule: long non-coding RNA, 273 nt
Filed under: Elaeis guineensis (African oil palm)
Lineage: Eukaryota; Viridiplantae; Streptophyta; Magnoliopsida; Arecales; Arecaceae
Description: long non-coding RNA (EGUI_LNC004917)
Source: RNAcentral
UGCCUUUGAAGGCAAAGGGCCUCGAUCGGAGGAGAUACUGUCGAUUCCAUCGGGGCCACGGUCACACCACCGAGCAAUGCAUCCAACUCAAAGAUGAAAUAGAGGUCCUCAUACGAUGAGGGUAUUUCGAAAAGUACCAAAGGGACCCACCGGCUCGACCCCUUCCCGACCGGCAACUCCAACCGACUGAAAAGGUAGCGAAUAAUCAGCCUACUGCUGGGGUCAUCAACAUGAUCUCCAGAUGACUGAAUCAAGAAAUGACUGCUGAAGGGG